RNAcentral lists this ribosomal RNA (1030 nucleotides) under uncultured eukaryote. RNAcentral's name for it is "bacterial SSU rRNA". It matches the Rfam family "Eukaryotic small subunit ribosomal RNA", at positions 395 to 1480 of the family's 1831-position model. The record is from RNAcentral.
CCUGAGAGACGGCUACCACUUCCAAGGAAGGCAGCAGGCGCGCAAAUUACCCAAUCCUGACACAGGGAGGUAGUGACAGUAAAUAACGAUGCGGGGCCGUGAGGCUUUGUAAUUGGAAUGAGAGGAGGAUAAAGAGAAGGUCGAGUAACGAUUGGAGGGCAAGUCUGGUGCCAGCAGCCGCGGUAAUUCCAGCUCCAAUAGCGUAUAUUAAAGUUGUUGCAGUUAAAACGCUCGUAGUCGGGUGAUUGGGCUGGGUUGCCUGGUUGGAGGAAAGUCCAUACGGGACAGCCGGCCUAUUGGAGAUGGAUGGAGUGUAAUGCUCCCACACCAUCCUUUGUUGCUGUGAGGAAAUUAGAGUGUUUGAAGGCAAGCAGUUGCUUGAAUACAUUAGCAUGGAAUAACAAGACAGGGAUGCUUGGUCUUGUUGGUUAGACGAAACAUCUUAUUGAUAGGGCCCGUCGGGGGUAUUGGUAUUUGGCAGUCAGAGGUGAUAUUGUUGGAUUUGCCAAAGACCAGCGGGGGCGAAAGCAUUUGCCGAGGAUGGUUUUGUUGAUCAAGAAAGAAAGUUAGGGGAUCGAAGAUGAUCAGAUACCGUAGUAGUCUUGAUUAUAAACGAUGCCGGCAGGUGAUUUGGCAGGGUGUGGCCUUGCUCAGCACCCAGGGAGAAAUUGUAACGUUUGGGUUUUGGGGGGAGUAUGGUUGCAAGGCAGAAAAUUAAAGGAAUUGACGGAAGGGCACCACCCGGAGUGGAGCCUGCGGGUUAAUUUGACUUAACACGGGAAAACUUACCAGGUCCGGACAUGGGAAGGAUUGACAGAUUGAGAGCGCUUUUAAGAUUUUGUGGGAGGUGGUGCAUGGCCGUUUUUAGUUGGUGGAGUGAUUUGUUUGGUUAAUUUUGAUAACGAGCGAGACUUCUCCGAAACAUUUUAAACUUGGUUGUUGCAACGGAGUUUACAACUGUUUCGGACACCCGGUGCUAAGCCGGGGGAAGUUAGAGGCAAUAACAGGUCUGUGAUGCCCAAUCACUAGU